ACCAUUUGUUUUUAAAUUAGAAAUCUUGUUGCUUUAUUUUAUAAUUGUGGUAAUUAGGUUUCUAAUAAUGUUUUUUUUAAGUCUAUUAAGUACAGUAAUAUGGUAAAUUUUUCAUUUUGGUAUAGGCAUAAUCAUUAGGAUCUUCCUUUAGGCAUGCAUUAACUGAAAUUAGAUGUUUAUGUGUGAUGAAAUCUGACACCUCUACUGAUAUUAUACGAUGAAAUAUUUUUUUCUGACAUAAACUUGAAAUAUGGUAUGGUAUUUAUACUAUGUUCUUGUACUUUUUUUUAUUCAUUUAAUAGCAGUUAAUUUCUUUUUUUUUUUCGUAUUAACCUUUUAGAAAAUUUUAUUUUACAACUUGCAGAUUGUUUUAAAAGAACUACAAUAUAAAGUUAACAUAAAACAUGAAAUACAAGAUGCAAUAUAUUCUUGCAAUGUCAUGAUGUGGUACUCCCAAUAACAUCCUAAUGUAUUGUUUUUGAAUACACUGGAAUUUUAGUUGUCAGAUCAAGAUUGUUUUAAAAGAACUACAAUAUAAAGUAAUAUAAAACAUGAAAUACAAGAUGCAAUAUAUUCUUGCUAUGUCAUGAUGUGGUGCUCUCAACAACAUCCUAAUGUAUUGUUUUUGAAUACACUGGAUUUUUAGUUGUCAGAUCAAGAUGUUUAUGUGUGAUGAAAUCUGACACCUCUACUGAUAUACGAUGAAAAGCUAUGUCAUGAUGUGGUGCUCUCAACAACAUCCUAAUGUAUUGUUUUUUGAAUACACUGGAUUUUUAGUUGUCAGAUCAAGGUUUGCUUAUAAUGUUACAAGUAAUUCUGCUGGGACAAACUGGGAAAUGCGUGAAAAGAGUCACAUUUGCAGUGAUAUACAGAAUACCAUCAAGUAAAUAAGUAUUUGAAGCUGAUGUCUUGAAACUAUGAAGAAAGACAAAGAAACUUUUGUAAAAUGAUGCUGUCCUGAGUGCUGUAUAGUAUAUCAAGAGAGUAUUGUAUAAAAAGUUGUGGCUUUUAUGUUCAGGAUUAUAUUGAACAAUAAACACAUUAAAGUUUUAUAAAAUAA
This is a long non-coding RNA of Biomphalaria glabrata, 1060 nucleotides long. RefSeq lists it as uncharacterized. NCBI's taxonomy places the organism in Eukaryota, Metazoa, Mollusca, Gastropoda, Planorbidae. The transcript has 11 exons. The record is from RefSeq and is a predicted model, not a curated record.